ACGGGUGCGUAACGCGUGGGAAUCUGCCCUUGGGUUCGGAAUAACAGUUAGAAAUGACUGCUAAUACCGGAUGAUGUCUUCGGACCAAAGAUUUAUCGCCCAGGGAUGAGCCCGCGUAGGAUUAGGUAGUUGGUGGGGUAAUGGCCCACCAAGCCGACGAUCCUUAGCUGGUCUGAGAGGAUGAUCAGCCACACUGGGACUGAGACACGGCCCAGACUCCUACGGGAGGCAGCAGUGGGGAAUAUUGGACAAUGGGCGAAAGCCUGAUCCAGCAAUGCCGCGUGAGUGAUGAAGGCCUUAGGGUUGUAAAGCUCUUUUACCAGGGAUGAUAAUGACAGUACCUGGAGAAUAAGCUCCGGCUAACUCCGUGCCAGCAGCCGCGGUAAUACGGAGGGAGCUAGCGUUGUUCGGAAUUACUGGGCGUAAAGCGCACGUAGGCGGCUAUUCAAGUCGGGGGUGAAAGCCCGGGGCUCAACCCCGGAACUGCCCUCGAAACUAGAUAGCUAGAAUCUUGGAGAGGCGAGUGGAAUUCCGAGUGUAGAGGUGAAAUUCGUAGA
Molecule: ribosomal RNA, 557 nt
Filed under: Novosphingobium sp. BvIRR109
Lineage: Bacteria; Pseudomonadati; Pseudomonadota; Alphaproteobacteria; Sphingomonadales; Sphingomonadaceae
Description: bacterial SSU rRNA
Rfam family: Bacterial small subunit ribosomal RNA
Source: RNAcentral